UGCUAAAGCUGAGAAUACAAAAAGAAAGGCAAAAGACGGUCGUCGUCCUUGAGGAGUUCGCAAUCUAAAAGGGAAGACAACAUGCAAACAACUAUGUACAAACAGGCUUAUAUACAUGACAGACCGGAAAUAACAGAAGAACGGCACUAGAAUUAAGAAGUGCCUGGGAAAGGUGGGAUUUAGCUGAGACUUGAAGCCAGGCAAGCCAAGAGGCAGAGAUUGGGGGUGGACGGACAUUCCAGGGCACGGAAGACAGCCAAUGCAAAGGCACGGAGUCGGGAGAUGAAGAGCGGCGCUCGGAGCCUGGAGGUCAGUGUCAUUGGAUGGAAGUGGGGGCGGGGGGAGGGGACGUAAGGAGCGAAGUAGGAAAGGUGGGGAGGCGGGCUGGUUGUGAAGUGCUCCGAAAGCCAAGCUGAGGAUUUCAUAUCUGAUUCCGGACGUUAACAGGGAGCCGCCGGGAUCUACUGCGGAGGGGAGGUGACGCGGUUCUAGGUGACCUCCUCUGUGAAUCCCACCCACAGGCCCAGUUGUAGUUGCAUUUUCUCCACGGGAUACUCUCAUUAGGUUACGGUCCUUUGUGUAUCAUCAUUGAGCUGGACAAAGAAGAUAUAUCAAACGGACACAAUCAAGUGUUGCUUCAUGUUACCAUCUUUGAGAGUUAAAAAAUAAGACUGUCUCCUGCUUUGAGAGUCUAAAUUAGUAAGGGGAUGUGGAAAGCAGACAGAGUUCUGCCACAGGAUUCAAGGCAUACUUCCUCCUUAUGGGAUCCUCCAUCUCCAAGCCUGGUCUUGAAGUCUCCUACCAGCACAACUAUGAGAUACAGCCGCUACCCUCAGAGACUAUUCACUCCGGGCUUCCCUCCCAGCCUCAUCCCUUUUCACCCUACUCCCUGGGUUUUGCCCCGGGUAAAAAAAAUUCUAGUUAUGACUCUAGACUAGCGUAUGAAAAAGUAACAUAUUUUUACACUGGAUUUUUCAAGAGACCUUUUCCUAAAAGUGAGCCCAUAUAUCUUAUAUGCAAAUUUUCAAAAUAUUAGUAUUUAACUUUUUCUUAACAUGUAGAUUUUUUAAAAAGGAGGAAUAAAGCAUAAAUAAAUACAAUAAAGAACUGUGAUUUUACAUUGAAGACUUUCUACCCCAUUUACUACUGAUUCAGAUAUGUACAUUUUGAGAUUCCUGAUUAUACUUGGUAAUUUUCCUCUUUUAUCAAGGCUAUUCUUCAUUUGAAUAUAAAAGGGCUUUGGGAAGCACUAUCUCUUUUUUUCUCCUCUUUCAUCAAGAAAUGAGGGGAAAAUUUUCUUAACAAAGGUGACUACCCAAGUUCACUCUUUAACUGGACUUCUCAAAAAGGUCUCAAGACCCUAAGUUGUUUUUUUUUUCCUGUCUCUCUAGAGUCCUCAAGGCAGUUUAGAACAGAAUGACAACCUAAUGACCCUUUUGUCAUGCAGCAGUUUCCAGGUCUCUUUGGUUUUUGUUUUGCUUUGGAAAUUCAUUAUGUACAUGAAAGGGGAAAAGGAUCCUUUGGUUUCUAUCUCAUAUUUGAAUUCCUAGGUUGAUUGGGUCCAUUUGCAUCCAGAGCAAGGUAAAGAGCAAAGGCCUAAAUACCCAUAAGCUAAAUAAACCAGGUUUCUUGGUA
This is a non-coding RNA of Phascolarctos cinereus (koala), 1635 nucleotides long. The record is from RefSeq and is a predicted model, not a curated record. NCBI's taxonomy places the organism in Eukaryota, Metazoa, Chordata, Mammalia, Diprotodontia, Phascolarctidae.